AGCUCCAAUAGCGUAUAUUUUUGUUGUUGCAGUUAAAAAGCUCGUAGUUGAAUUUCUGGUGGGAGGAUGUGGUGCAACGUAGUUGCUACUGGCAGCCUCCGGCCAUCCUUGGGUUUAGCCAUUCUGGCAUUAAGUUGUCGGGGUGGGGAUGCCCAUCGUUUACUGUGAAAAAAUUAGAGUGUUCAAAGCAGACUUAUGUCGUUGAAUAUAUUAGCAUGGAAUAAUAAGAUAGGACUACAGUGCUAUUUUGUUGGUUUGCGCACCGUGGUAAUGAUGAAUAGGGACAGUUGUGGGUAUUCGUAUUCACUUGUAAGAGGUGAAAUUCUUGGAUUAAGGGAAGACGAACAAAAGCGAAAGCAUUUACCAAGGAUGUUUUCA
This 378-nucleotide ribosomal RNA is filed under the name uncultured marine Chaetocerotaceae. RNAcentral's name for it is "SSU rRNA". It matches the Rfam family "Eukaryotic small subunit ribosomal RNA", at positions 587 to 972 of the family's 1831-position model. The record is from RNAcentral. Lineage: Eukaryota; Bacillariophyta; Thalassiosirophyceae; Chaetocerotales; Chaetocerotaceae.